RNAcentral lists this small nucleolar RNA (207 nucleotides) under Microtus ochrogaster (prairie vole). Its description in RNAcentral is "Small nucleolar RNA U3 (ENSMOCG00000011515.1)". It matches the Rfam family "Small nucleolar RNA U3". From Rfam's summary of the family: Small nucleolar RNAs (snoRNAs) are involved in the processing and modification of rRNA in the nucleolus. Lineage: Eukaryota; Metazoa; Chordata; Mammalia; Rodentia; Cricetidae. The record is from RNAcentral.
CUAACUAUCCUUUCAGGUAUCAUUUAUAUAAUUCAUUACUGGCGAAGUUUCCUUGACUUGUAGAGCACCCGAGACCAUGAGGAGGAGACAUAGCAUUCCCUCCUGAGUGUGAAGACGGUUCUAGGUGCCACUUUCCUGGAGCUGCCUCUUUCAACUAAGGAUCGUUCUUCUCUCCCUUUGGGAGAGGGAGAGGGAGGGAAAAAAGAA